GAGGGUAUAGCUCAGUGAUAGAGCAUGUGCUUAGCAUGCACAAGGUCCUGGGUUCAAUCCCCAGUACCUCCA
Camelus ferus (Wild Bactrian camel) is the source of this 72-nucleotide transfer RNA. It matches the Rfam family "tRNA". Rfam says of the family: Transfer RNA (tRNA) molecules are approximately 80 nucleotides in length. Their secondary structure includes four short double-helical elements and three loops (D, anti-codon, and T loops). The record is from Rfam. NCBI's taxonomy places the organism in Eukaryota, Metazoa, Chordata, Mammalia, Artiodactyla, Camelidae.